RNAcentral lists this long non-coding RNA (903 nucleotides) under Linum usitatissimum (flax). RNAcentral's name for it is "long non-coding RNA (LUSI_LNC006695)". Lineage: Eukaryota; Viridiplantae; Streptophyta; Magnoliopsida; Malpighiales; Linaceae. The record is from RNAcentral.
CGUUGUAUGCUUUUAAUACAUAUUUUGACCACCGCGCUCCAAAUUGAAAAGAAAACGGGUAGGUCGUCGAAGUCCGAGCUGGUUCCGGAUUCCGCCGAACUAAAACGCGGCUCCGUGGGCCAUCCGUGUGGGUCCCAGCUUCUCUCCCCCCGUUUGUCGCAAGCGCUGAUUACACGCCGUCGAUUGGACAAAUCAAGUUAGAAAUAAAUUCAGUAAAAAGAAAAACUAAAUAAUAAAUAAAAUUCCUCCUUUAUUCUUUUAAAGUAGUAAUAAUAAUAAUAAUAUUAAAACGGUUGUAGUGCUGCAAACAACAGCUGCUGCUGUUGCCGCUUUCAUCCUCAUCCUUCUCCUUUUUUUCCUUCAUCCCCACUACUUGCGAAUGAACACAUUCGGUCCCCAUUGACAUUCAUUCCCUCACAAAUAUCUCUCCUCCUUUUUCACAUUUCUAAAAUUCUCACCUGAGCUUUUAAACAAGCUAGUCGGAUACAAUGUCAGCUCCGGCACCCACCAAUUCCACCGCUCCUCCUCCGGCCACACCCUCCGCGCCUCCUCCGGCCANNNNNNNNNNNNNNNNNNNNNNNNNNNNCCCCCCCCCGCCCCCCCUCCUCCUUCCCCCCCGCCCCCCGCUUCAUCUCCUCCCCCUCCCUCAUCCACUCCUUCACCUCCUUCAUCCUCGCCGCCGACUCCUCCUUCCAACACUCCAUCGCCUCCUUCAUCAGUACCCCCUCCGUCCACGCCGAAUCCAGUAACUCCGUCCCCUCCCGGGGGUGGUGGGAAUCGCAGCCCUCCGUCUUCUACCAGAUCUCCGCCGUCUUCCUCCGGUGGUUCUCCGCCGAACUCUUCUUCUCCUUCGUCGUCUUCGAGUCUAUCAACUGGAGUGGUGGGUGGGGUUGCGCUCGGGGG